Long non-coding RNA from Cervus elaphus (red deer), 561 nucleotides. RefSeq lists it as uncharacterized. The record is from RefSeq and is a predicted model, not a curated record. The transcript is spliced from 3 exons. Lineage: Eukaryota; Metazoa; Chordata; Mammalia; Artiodactyla; Cervidae.
GGCGAAAGGAGCUGCGGGGGCUGGAGGGGAGUGAAUUCGUGCCGCUGCCCUCCGGGAUGCUCUUGGUCUCUCCUACCCUGGACUUCAGCAUCUUUUACUGAAAGGCAGUCAAGAACAAGGAAAAUGAGUGACUGGAAUUUGCAAUUUGUAAGAGUCUGAUUCCUUGUCACAGCUCUCUGCUUGUUCCUCUCAGAAAUGAUCAUGUAAGUAAGCAGAGAAAAAGCUGCAGACUGUAGAAGCUCAGAUGUGUUUAGGUGAUGAAAUUGUCCCCAUAGGCCUUGUGAGGAAGUAUUUCAUCUUGAGUAUCAAGAGCUGACUUGGGUGUGGUGAGUGACUCUAGUUUUCUCUCUCCCUAUCAAUACAGAAUCAAUUGGAGGGGAAAAGUGUUUGGUGUUCCCUAUUUAAAUAAGUCCAUAAUUUAACGACUCAAGCAGUUUUUGUUUAGUUGUGUCCAACUCUUUUGAGAACCCUUGGACUGUAGCCCACCAGGCUCCUCUGUCCAUGGUUUUCCCAGGCCAGAAUACUGGAGUGAGUUGCCAUUUCAUUCUCCAGGGGAACCUU